This 3095-nucleotide long non-coding RNA is filed under the name Nicotiana tabacum (common tobacco). RNAcentral describes it as "long non-coding RNA (NTAB_LNC009508)". Lineage: Eukaryota; Viridiplantae; Streptophyta; Magnoliopsida; Solanales; Solanaceae. The record is from RNAcentral.
CUGUGGACAGCCAACACUGAAAGAUACAGCAAUGUGAUUGUAGGACUUAAUGACACAAUGGAAAACCUUUUGGCUGCUGUGGAUAGAGAUGAAGCUGAAAUAUCUCCUUCUACAUUGUAUGCUAUUGCUUGUGUUCUUGAAAAUGUGCCUUUUAUCAAUGGAAGUCCACAGAACACUUUUGUCCCAGGUCAGGAAUCUCGAUUACAUACACAUAACGAGUUUAAUCAGUUUAAUAUUUGACAUGUGGACCAUCGUCUCACAUGAUAUUAACUUAAUUUUUCAAGGGGGAGAGUUCAUUUAGGUAGCUUGCUACCUGGGCGCCCAUGUGUUGCACUAUUAGACGGGCCUGGCGAACCCUUAAAAAAAACAUAUACAUAACGCGUUAUUAAAACUGUAUAAUAUUGCUUUGGAAAACCACCUUUCUUUUCGUCUCUCUUAAGCUGAGGGUCUAUCCGAAACAGCCUCUCUACCUUCAAGGUAGGGGUAAGGCCUGCGUACCCAUAUCCUACUUGUGGGAUUACACUGAAUUUGUUGUUGUUGUUGCUUUGGAAAACCAGUUGUAUUUUAGCUUCUAUAGUAAGUAAUUUUUUUUGCUGGAUACUAUAUUACUAUUUCUCAGGUCUAAUUGAUUUGGCCAUAAAGAGGAACACUUUGAUUGGUGGUGAUGACUUUAAGAGUGGUCAAACCAAGAUGAAGUCAGUGCUGGUUGAUUUCCUAGUUGGAGCCGGUAUUAAGGUAUGGCUUUUGCUGUUAAUUUCAGAGAUUUGAAAUGUCGAAUCACUUUAUACACAUGAAUACAUACAUAAUUUUGAAGCUAUUGAGCGAUGAUAUAGUAUUGUUGGCGUGGAUGAAUUUAAAUGGAGAAUGUGAGGAUUCAUAUAACAGACCCCAACUUGUUUGGAAUAGAGGUGUAGUAGUAGUAUAGUAGAAGCAAUAACAUACUCGUGCUAAAACUCGUGGUUUUUUUUUUAUAUUACAGCCAACAUCAAUUGUGAGCUACAAUCACCUGGGUAACAAUGAUGGAAUGAAUCUUUCCGCCCCUCAAACUUUCCGGUCUAAGGAGAUCUCGAAGAGCAAUGUUGUCGAUGACAUGGUUUCCAGCAACGCCAUUCUCUAUGAAGCUGGCGAGCAUCCUGACCAUGUUGUUGUGAUCAAGGUAAUAAUAUAACGCGAGAAAGCUAUAUUUAAUGUACACAAACAUGCAUUUUAAAUUUCUCAAAAACUAAUGUUUGGUUUCGGAUUCAAUCAGUAUGUCCCCUAUGUUGGAGAUAGUAAGAGAGCAAUGGAUGAGUACACAUCAGAGAUUUUCAUGGGUGGAAAGAACACAAUAGUUUUGCACAACACUUGUGAGGAUUCUCUUUUGGCAGCUCCAAUUAUAUUAGACUUGGUCCUUCUCGCCGAACUCAGCACUCGCAUUCAGCUCAAAGCUGAAGGAGAGGUCAGUUACUUUUUCACUAAAUUCACGUGUGAAGGGGAGCCUUGGCGUAACUGUUAAAGUUGCUACCAUGUGACCGGGAGGUCAUGUGCUCGAGCCGUGAAAAUAGGAAAUGCAGGGUAAGGCUGCAUACAAUAGACCCUUGUAGUCCGGUCUUUCCUCGAACCCUUAGUGCACCGGGCUGCCCCUUACACUUACAAUGUUGUGUAAUUCUGAUGAUAAGUGACUGUUUUUCAGGGGAAGUUCCAUUCUUUCCAUCCUGUGGCUACUAUACUCAGCUACCUCACAAAGGCUCCUCUGGUAAAGUUUCUAUAAGGAUUAUUAUUCUUCAGUUCAAACUUCAAACAAAUUCAAACAGUAAACAAUAUGCAAUUAUCAGUGCUAGUGAAAAAGUAGCAAGAGUGAAAAAUUGAUAGAUAAUUGGGUCAGAGCAUGUGCUAGGUCUGUAGCUGAUAUGACAUUGUUGGAUUCUUUCAUCUUAUUAAAUGAAUGACCAGAACUAUCUGUGGUCCACAAGAUAAACAUAGAAAUGUGGCACAAACGAGCAGUUAUUCAUAUUUUCAUAUGCACAUAGACUAAAGGACAAUAUUGGACAGCGAUGCGCUUAAAUGGAUCAACUAAGUUGCUCGGACUCUUCACUUUCAGUGCCGCACCUGUGUCGAUACGACGUGGGUGUGGAUAUGGGUGUGGGGUCCUUACCAGAUCUGGUCAACUGACUUUGGGUACUUUGACCAAAAUCGAUUAAGAAAUUCAGGAUAUGUACAAUGAAUUUUGAAAUCCAAACAAAAGUUAGGGUAAAAUUAAAGAAUACUUAAUACCUUGUAUAUAGAAAUUUUUAUGUCAGUCUUAUUCCUUUUAUCUCCUUUUUGGAUUCUCCUCUUGAUCAGUAUUCUUUUCUUCUUAGAAUACCUUGUAAGUAUUCAUAUAAUGUCUCAUAAUUUAGAUAUAUCUUUAUAACUCUAUUUUUAGAUACUUGAAUUAUGUUUAGCCGAAUUUCCGCACCCAUAGUCGUACCUGGAUCCAUACCCCCGAAUCUUAAAAUUUAGAUCAUAUGAAAGAUCCAACCUCUAGAUCUGCACCCGUAUCGAACACCUACACCCGAGUCCGAGCAACUUAGUGGAGCAACAUAGACAUUCAGAAUUCAUAUAGCCGACUCCAACUUGCUUAUUGAGGUGUAGUUAUUCUUGUGCAUAAACUAAAAGAUAUGCAGAAGUCGCAACAAACUAAAAAGGGACUUCACAUGUAUCACAAAUGUGUCGUUUCAGCUCUAAUUUUCAUAUUUUUUUCGCUUGUAAUCCGUUGAUUUUUGGUAAUAGUUUUUCCUUAACUGUUGUUGUGAAUUGGAAAACAGGUACCACCAGGUACACCAGUGGUGAAUGCCCUGUCAAAGCAGAGGGCAAUGCUUGAGAAUAUACUGAGAGCUUGUGUUGGUUUGGCACCAGAGAACAACAUGAUUUUGGAAUACAAAUGAAAAUGCAGAUGAAGGAAAUUAAUAGAAGAGAAUGGACUCAAGAUUAGUUGCAUGUGCUGAAGAUCAUUUUCUCUUCUUUUUCCUUUUCUAUUUUCUCAUCAAUAUAUAAUUAAGCAAAGUGUGCCAAUUUUCGUUUUAGUAAAUCUACUUUGCCUUUUCUUUUGUACGAGUUAGAUUUUAUGCACUGAC